UACGUAGGGUGCGAGCGUUGUCCGGAAUUAUUGGGCGUAAAGAGCUCGUAGGCGGUGUGUCACGUCGUUCGUGAAAACUCACAACUCAAUUGUGGGCGUGCGGGCGAUACGGGCAGACUGGAGUACUGCAGGGGAGACUGGAAUUCCUGGUGUAGCGGUGGAAUGCGUAGAGAUGUGGAGGAACACCAGUGGCGAAGGCGACUCUUUGGCCUGUAACUGACGCUGAGGCGCGAAAGCGUGGGGAGCGAACAGG
Molecule: ribosomal RNA, 253 nt
Filed under: uncultured bacterium
Lineage: Bacteria
Description: partial 16S ribosomal RNA
Rfam family: Bacterial small subunit ribosomal RNA
Source: RNAcentral